GAAUCAUCGAGUCUUUGAACGCACAUUGCGCCCCUCGGUAUUCCGGGGGGCAUGCCUGUUCGAGCGUCAUUAUACCCCUCAAGCGUAGCUUGGUAUUGGGCCUCGCCCCCGUGGCGUGCCCGAAAAGCAGUGGCGGUCCGGGGCGACUUUAAGCGUAGUAAAAUUAUCCCGCUUUGAAAGUUCGCCUCGUGGCCUGCCAGACAACCCCGUACAUUUCAAAUCAUUGACCUCGGAUCAG
RNAcentral lists this unclassified non-coding RNA (238 nucleotides) under Cetraria islandica. RNAcentral's name for it is "sequence contains 18S rRNA gene, ITS1, 5.8S rRNA gene, ITS2, 28S rRNA gene". The stretch from base 1 to 69 matches the Rfam family "5.8S ribosomal RNA", at positions 86 to 154 of the family's 154-position model. Lineage: Eukaryota; Fungi; Ascomycota; Lecanoromycetes; Lecanorales; Parmeliaceae. The record is from RNAcentral.